This 468-nucleotide ribosomal RNA is filed under the name uncultured bacterium. RNAcentral's name for it is "partial 16S ribosomal RNA". It matches the Rfam family "Bacterial small subunit ribosomal RNA", at positions 28 to 507 of the family's 1533-position model. The record is from RNAcentral.
GACGAACGCUGGCGGCGUGCUUAACACAUGCAAGUCGAACGGAAAGGCCCUGCUUUUGUGGGGUGCUCGAGUGGCGAACGGGUGAGUAACACGUGAGUAACCUGCCCUUGACUUUGGGAUAACUUCAGGAAACUGGGGCUAAUACCGGAUAGGAGCUCCUGCUGCAUGGUGGGGGUUGGAAAGUUUCGGCGGUUGGGGAUGGACUCGCGGCUUAUCAGCUUGUUGGUGGGGUAGUGGCUUACCAAGGCUUUGACGGGUAGCCGGCCUGAGAGGGUGACCGGCGACAUGGGGACUGAGAUACGGCCCAGACGCCUACGGGAGGCAGCAGUGGGGAAUAUUGCACAAUGGGCGGAAGCCUGAUGCAGCAACGCCGCGUGCGGGAUGACGGCCUUCGGGUUGUAAACCGCUUUCGCCUGUGACGAAGCGUGAGUGACGGUAAUGGGUAAAGAAGCACCGGCUAACUACGUG